This 396-nucleotide unclassified non-coding RNA is filed under the name Hevea brasiliensis (rubber tree). The record is from RNAcentral. Lineage: Eukaryota; Viridiplantae; Streptophyta; Magnoliopsida; Malpighiales; Euphorbiaceae.
GCAUGUACAUUAUUAGACUGGGCAAUGGUAGAGGUCAUGAGAAAACCAUACAUAAAGAAGAAAGCUAAAACCGACUUUGCAGAUGUUAUUGGCAAAGGCAAGAUAAUCAAAGAAGCCGAUAUUGUUCGUCUCCCUUAUUUGCAGUGCAUAGUGAAAGAAACCUUGCGGAUGCAUCCUCCAGUACCCUUUUUGAUUCGCAAGGUUGAUCAAGACGUCGAGGCGUGCGGCUAUUUUGUCCUGGAAGACUCUCAGGUGUUAGUGAACGUAUGGUCAAUAGGCCGUGAUCCAGCUACAUGGGAGGAUCCUCUCACAUUUAAGCCUGAGAGAUUUUGGAAUUUGAAAAUGGAUGUUAGUGGCCAAAAUUUUGAACUCAUUCCAUUUGGUGCUGGUCGAAGA